Molecule: long non-coding RNA, 296 nt
Organism: Stegostoma tigrinum
Lineage: Eukaryota; Metazoa; Chordata; Chondrichthyes; Orectolobiformes; Stegostomatidae
Exons: 3
Source: RefSeq, a predicted model, not a curated record
UCAUUCUGUUCACUUCAGUCAGCAAGCGUGUGGAGCCCAGUUAACAUCAACAACUACACAAAGUCUUCUUCGUACUGCUUCUUCAGCAGAAUGAGAGCCAAGUGGAGGAAGAAGCGUAUGCGCAGACUGAAACGAAAGAGGCGAAAAAUGAGGCAGCGGUCCCAGUAAAGCACUUGUUGAGUUUGACUUGAUCUUUGUUAGAGUGAAAACUGGAGGCCUUGGAUUACACCACAAUUGUGGCUGAAAACCUAGAUUGUUCCUGAGCCCAAACAUUGGAUGAAGAUGUUUUCAUGACA